GAUUAAGUUAUUAAGGGCGCACGGUGGAUGCCUUGGCACUAGAAGCCGAUGAAGGACGUUACUAACGACGAUAUGCUUUGGGGAGCUGUAAGUAAGCUUUGAUCCAGAGAUUUCCGAAUGGGGAAACCCAACAUGAGUUAUGUCAUGUUAUCGAUAUGUGAAUACAUAGCAUAUCAGAAGGCACACCCGGAGAACUGAAACAUCUUAGUACCCGGAGGAAGAGAAAGAAAAUUCGAUUCCCUUAGUAGCGGCGAGCGAAACGGGAAGAGCCCAAACCAACAAGCUUGCUUGUUGGGGUUGUAGGACACUCUAUACGGAGUUACAAAGGACGACAUUAGACGAAUCAUCUGGAAAGAUGAAUCAAAGAAGGUAAUAAUCCUGUAGUCGAAAAUGUUGUCUCUCUUGAGUGGAUCCUGAGUACGACGGAGCACGUGAAAUUCCGUCGGAAUCUGGGAGGACCAUCUCCUAAGGCUAAAUACUCUCUAGUGACCGAUAGUGAACCAGUACCGUGAGGGAAAGGUGAAAAGCACCCCGGAAGGGGAGUGAAAUAGAACCUGAAACCGUGUGCUUACAAGUAGUCAGAGCCCGUUAAUGGGUGAUGGCGUGCCUUUUGUAGAAUGAACCGGCGAGUUACGAUUUGAUGCAAGGUUAAGCAGUAAAUGUGGAGCCGUAGCGAAAGCGAGUCUGAAUAGGGCGUUUAGUAUUUGGUCGUAGACCCGAAACCAGGUGAUCUACCCUUGGUCAGGUUGAAGUUCAGGUAACACUGAAUGGAGGACCGAACCGACUUACGUUGAAAAGUGAGCGGAUGAACUGAGGGUAGCGGAGAAAUUCCAAUCGAACCUGGAGAUAGCUGGUUCUCUCCGAAAUAGCUUUAGGGCUAGCCUCAAGUGAUGAUUAUUGGAGGUAGAGCACUGUUUGGACGAGGGGCCCCUCUCGGGUUACCGAAUUCAGACAAACUCCGAAUGCCAAUUAAUUUAACUUGGGAGUCAGAACAUGGGUGAUAAGGUCCGUGUUCGAAAGGGAAACAGCCCAGACCACCAGCUAAGGUCCCAAAAUAUAUGUUAAGUGGAAAAGGAUGUGGCGUUGCCCAGACAACUAGGAUGUUGGCUUAGAAGCAGCCAUCAUUUAAAGAGUGCGUAAUAGCUCACUAGUCGAGUGACACUGCGCCGAAAAUGUACCGGGGCUAAACAUAUUACCGAAGCUGUGGAUUGUCCUUUGGACAAUGGUAGGAGAGCGUUCUAAGGGCGUUGAAGCAUGAUCGYAAGGACAUGUGGAGCGCUUAGAAGUGAGAAUGCCGGUGUGAGUAGCGAAAGACGGGUGAGAAUCCCGUCCACCGAUUGACUAAGGUUUCCAGAGGAAGGCUCGUCCGCUCUGGGUUAGUCGGGUCCUAAGCUGAGGCCGACAGGCGUAGGCGAUGGAUAACAGGUUGAUAUUCCUGUACCACCUAUAAUCGUUUUAAUCGAUGGGGGGACGCAGUAGGAUAGGCGAAGCGUGCGAUUGGAUUGCACGUCUAAGCAGUAAGGCUGAGUAUUAGGCAAAUCCGGUACUCAUUAAGGCUGAGCUGUGAUGGGGAGAAGACAUUGUGUCUUCGAGUCGUUGAUUUCACACUGCCGAGAAAAGCCUCUAGAUAGAAAAUAGGUGCCCGUACCGCAAACCGACACAGGUAGUCAAGAUGAGAAUUCUAAGGUGAGCGAGCGAACUCUCGUUAAGGAACUCGGCAAAAUGACCCCGUAACUUCGGGAGAAGGGGUGCUCUUUAGGGUUAACGCCCAGAAGAGCCGCAGUGAAUAGGCCCAAGCGACUGUUUAUCAAAAACACAGGUCUCUGCUAAACCGUAAGGUGAUGUAUAGGGGCUGACGCCUGCCCGGUGCUGGAAGGUUAAGAGGAGUGGUUAGCUUCUGCGAAGCUACGAAUCGAAGCCCCAGUAAACGGCGGCCGUAACUAUAACGGUCCUAAGGUAGCGAAAUUCCUUGUCGGGUAAGUUCCGACCCGCACGAAAGGCGUAACGAUUUGGGCACUGUCUCAACGAGAGACUCGGUGAAAUCAUAGUACCUGUGAAGAUGCAGGUUACCCGCGACAGGACGGAAAGACCCCGUGGAGCUUUACUGUAGCCUGAUAUUGAAAUUCGGCACAGCUUGUACAGGAUAGGUAGGAGCCUUUGAAACGUGAGCGCUAGCUUACGUGGAGGCGCUGGUGGGAUACUACCCUAGCUGUGUUGGCUUUCUAACCCGCACCACUUAUCGUGGUGGGAGACAGUGUCAGGCGGGCAGUUUGACUGGGGCGGUCGCCUCCUAAAAGGUAACGGAGGCGCUCAAAGGUUCCCUCAGAAUGGUUGGAAAUCAUUCAUAGAGUGUAAAGGCAUAAGGGAGCUUGACUGCGAGACCUACAAGUCGAGCAGGGUCGAAAGACGGACUUAGUGAUCCGGUGGUUCCGCAUGGAAGGGCCAUCGCUCAACGGAUAAAAGCUACCCCGGGGAUAACAGGCUUAUCUCCCCCAAGAGUUCACAUCGACGGGGAG
Molecule: ribosomal RNA, 2516 nt
Filed under: Staphylococcus argenteus
Lineage: Bacteria; Bacillati; Bacillota; Bacilli; Caryophanales; Staphylococcaceae
Description: partial 23S ribosomal RNA
Rfam family: Bacterial large subunit ribosomal RNA
Source: RNAcentral